This 520-nucleotide ribosomal RNA is filed under the name uncultured bacterium. RNAcentral's name for it is "bacterial SSU rRNA". It matches the Rfam family "Bacterial small subunit ribosomal RNA", at positions 21 to 518 of the family's 1533-position model. The record is from RNAcentral.
GGCUCAGAUUGAACGCUGGCGGCGUGCUUAACACAUGCAAGUCGUGCGAGAAAGGUUCCUCGGGGACUGAGUAGAGCGGCGCACGGGUGAGUAACGCGUGGGUGACCUACCCAGGAGACCGGGAUAACAGUGGGAAACUGCUGCUAAUACCGGGUACGCUUCAUAUUUCACGUAUGGGGGGAAAGGCGGCCUCUGCUUGCAAGCUGCCACUCUUGGAUGGGCCCGCGUCUCAUUAGCUUGUUGGUAGGGUAACGGCCUACCAAGGCGACGAUGAGUAGCUGGUCUGAGAGGAUGAUCAGCCACACUGGGACUGGAACACGGCCCAGACUCCUACGGGAGGCAGCAGUGGGGAAUAUUGCGCAAUGGGCGAAAGCCUGACGCAGCGACGCCGCGUGGAAGGGAAGAAGGCCUUCGGGUCGUAAACCUCUGUCAGGAGGGAAGAAACCAUGGGAGUCGAAUAGGCUCUCGUGCUGACGGUACCUCCGGAGGAAGCACCGGCUAACUCCGUGCCAGCAGCAGC